This 253-nucleotide ribosomal RNA is filed under the name uncultured bacterium. RNAcentral describes it as "partial 16S ribosomal RNA". It matches the Rfam family "Bacterial small subunit ribosomal RNA", at positions 524 to 776 of the family's 1533-position model. The record is from RNAcentral.
UACGAAGGGGGCUAGCGUUGCUCGGAAUCACUGGGCGUAAAGCGCACGUAGGCGGAUUGUUAAGUCGGGGGUGAAAUCCUGGAGCUCAACUCCAGAACUGCCUUCGAUACUGGCGAUCUCGAGUCCGGGAGAGGUGAGUGGAACUCCGAGUGUAGAGGUGAAAUUCGUAGAUAUUCGGAAGAACACCCGUGGCGAAGGCGGCUCUCUGGGACGGUACUGACGCUGAGACGCGAAAGCGUGGGGAGCGAACAGG